GUGCUUGCUUCAGCAGCAUAUAUACUAAAAUUGGAAUGAUGUAGAGAAGAUUAGCAUGGCCCCUGUGCAAAGAUGACACACAAAUUCGUGAAGCAUUCCAUAUUUUU
This is a small nuclear RNA of Otolemur garnettii (small-eared galago), 107 nucleotides long. NCBI's taxonomy places the organism in Eukaryota, Metazoa, Chordata, Mammalia, Primates, Galagidae. The record is from Ensembl.